GCCGCUACUACUGAAAUGAAAUUGGGCUGGCUUGGUUUCCCUACGUUUAAUGAAGUGUGCGUUUUGGUGGCUGAAGAGCUUUGCAGGGUCAUUGGCUCGAGCAUCUCAUUAGGCAGAGAGCACUCUAUGUUAGGGUUCCUUUCGUGAAGCGAAAGAGAGAUAGCAGAGCUCGUGCCACUUGCCCAAGAGGUUGAAGACGAGACACGUGUGCAUGGAGAUUGAUUCAGCAACGAAGAAGACGAUCGGAGGGUCCAGAAGUGUGGUUCGAGAGCAAGAAAGAGGGACUGUUGGAUCGUGUAAGCAAAGCGUUGAAGGUUCCCUGUUCCUCCUUUUCUUUUUCCCUUAAUUUCUAGCCCUAUAAAAGGAUGUAAAGAGAGUUUUUCGAGGAUGUAAGCGGAGGGUGACAGACUCCGCAAGCAAGUGAGUGGGGAUUAAGUGGAGGGUGACAGACUCCACGGAACGAAGAGAGAAGUGGAGUGCAGACUCCACAGAACGAUUCGAGAUCGCCGAACUAAUUGAGCUGAAAUAAAAAUGAACUAG
This 540-nucleotide small RNA is filed under the name Vigna angularis var. angularis. RNAcentral's name for it is "Non-protein coding transcript". Lineage: Eukaryota; Viridiplantae; Streptophyta; Magnoliopsida; Fabales; Fabaceae. The record is from RNAcentral.